This 253-nucleotide ribosomal RNA is filed under the name uncultured bacterium. RNAcentral describes it as "partial 16S ribosomal RNA". It matches the Rfam family "Bacterial small subunit ribosomal RNA", at positions 524 to 776 of the family's 1533-position model. The record is from RNAcentral.
UACGUAGGGUGCAAGCGUUAAUCGGAAUUACUGGGCGUAAAGCGUGCGCAGGCGGUUUUAUAAGACCGAUGUGAAAUCCCCGGGCUCAACCUGGGAACUGCAUUUGUGACUGUAGAGCUGGAGUGCGGCAGAGGGGGAUGGAAUUCCGCGUGUAGCAGUGAAAUGCGUAGAUAUCGGAAGGAACAUCAGUGGCGAAAGCGGCUUCCUGGACCAGUACCGACGUUCAGGCACGAAAGCGUGGGGAGCAAACAGG